Molecule: ribosomal RNA, 253 nt
Filed under: uncultured bacterium
Lineage: Bacteria
Description: partial 16S ribosomal RNA
Rfam family: Bacterial small subunit ribosomal RNA
Source: RNAcentral
UACGAAGGUGGCAAGCGUUGUUCGGAUUUACUGGGCGUACAGGGAGCGUAGGCGGUUGGAUAAGCCCUCCGUGAAAUCUCCAGGCUUAACCUGGAAAGUGCAGAGGGGACUGUUCAGCUAGAGGAUGGGAGAGGAGCGCGGAAUCCCCGGUGUAGCGGUGAAAUGCGUAGAGAUCGGGAGGAAGGCCGGUGGCGAAGGCGGCGCUCUGGAACAUUUCUGACGCUGAGGCUCGAAAGCGUGGGGAGCAAACAGG